UACAUACAUAUAUGUAUAUAUGUGUAUAUGUAUAGAACAAGGCCUUGUUGGCAAUAAUUUUGCACUUUGGAUUCGUAUGUGCGCAAUUGAGACGGUUCUAUGAAAGUGUUUGCCAAAAAGAUCAUGAAAAAAAAAAAA
Long non-coding RNA from Drosophila navojoa, 138 nucleotides. Lineage: Eukaryota; Metazoa; Arthropoda; Insecta; Diptera; Drosophilidae. The record is from RefSeq and is a predicted model, not a curated record.